This 447-nucleotide RNase P RNA is filed under the name Deltaproteobacteria bacterium. RNAcentral describes it as "RNase P RNA component class A". It matches the Rfam family "Bacterial RNase P class A". From Rfam's summary of the family: Ribonuclease P (RNase P) is a ubiquitous endoribonuclease, found in archaea, bacteria and eukarya as well as chloroplasts and mitochondria. The record is from RNAcentral. Lineage: Bacteria; Pseudomonadati; Myxococcota; Myxococcia.
AAAGGGGACCGAUGGUCGCUCUUCAUAACUUUGGUUAUGAAGGGAGGAAAGUCCGAGCUCCAGAGGGUAGGGUGGUCCGUAACACGGACUGCUCUGUGAAAUUUAUAAAUUUCACAGAGUAAGGAGAGUGCCACAGAAAAUAGACCGUUCCGAUGAGAAUCGGAAUAAGGGUGAAAAGGUGAGGUAAGAGCUCACCAGUAUCCCAAGCGAUUGGGGUAGCUUGGCAAACCCCACCCGGAGCAAGACCAAAUAGGUUCCGCUUCCCUAAAAAGGGAUGAGAAUGACCCAUUCAAAUUUGUCCCAUUCAUAGGGACAAAGGCGGAACGGGUAAGGUCGCUUGAGGACCUGAGCAAUCAGGUUCCCAGAUAAAUGACCAUCAUCCUAUAUAGUAGCCUAAAAAAGCUACCUAAAUAGGAUACAGAACUCGGCUUAUGAUCCCCUUUAAGA